CUCAAUGAUAAAAGAGCUCCAGAGUAUUCAUCUUCCACCGACUCUCUUUCAUCUUCUCCGUUGUAUAUUAUAAAAAUUUUGAUCUCAAAAUUCAUCUACCCAGAUGAUUAUCAUCAGCUUCAGCUACGCCAUCAGAUUUACCGAUUAUUAACUUCAGCUACGCCAUCAGAGUCACCAGCUUCAAACGAUUAUCCAGAAGCUAAUCCUAAUUGUUAUCACCAACUCAGAUUUCUUAUGAUUUUUGGUUUCUCUUCUUCUGAUUCUCUUCAAACUUUUCAAGAUUGCUGUCACAAUUAUUUUGACUUCGUUAGGAAAAUAGCUGAUUUAUUUUUAAUUUUUGUUUCCCAGUUUUUGUACAAAUAUAAUUUCUCUCAUAUUUAGGUUAGUUUAUCAUGGUAUACCUCUUUAUGAUGAAGUUUGGUGAUAUUAAUUUGAGUAUCUGCUUUAAACUCAGUGGCUAUUUGGUGCAAUUUCAACAUAAAAUUGUUCAAUUUCUUUUCUCAUUCUCUGUUUAAUGACCAUAGAUUGAUUUUCCUUACUAGCUUGUCGUUGGUUAUUUGUUGUCAUAAAGGAAAAUAUGUCUUACUUGAGUUAUUGUAACUUGCACAGAAGCUAAAAACCCAGUGUAGUUACUCUUGAAUAGCUUCAUAUCGAACAUCUCAUUCAGGAAGACUACCAUUAUGCAUUAGUUGAAACUGAAUGUAGAGGCGUAAUCUCAUAUUUUAUCCGCCUUGACUUCCCAGAACAUACCAUAAGAACAUCUACUGAAAAUUGUUCUCAUAUUACACGAGUAAUUUAAUGACAUAGAACUUAUAUGCGAGCCACAUUUUCGUUUAAGAUAAACGCAUUUAGAACUAUGUCAACUUCCAAGUAAGUAAUACAUUGAAUUUGUCCCCGUAUUGCUUUUGUCUUUUCCUGAAAGUACCUUACUAGAUGGACUGUAUAUUGAAUUUGUAUAGAAAUUCUUAUAAUUAGGUCUGUCUUUCUGGCUUUCCUAAAUGUGUGGUCUUUUCAUAAGCACCGAUCUUUUGCGUACACGUCUUGGUUUUGUUGUUCAUAAUUGAUUAAUUUUCUUUCAAGUUUCCUUUUUUAUAAUAUUCAACAUUUUUUACUUCUUAAUGUAUGUUUGCGUUGAUUGUAAUCUAUAUAAACCCUGGGAGUUUUUUCCCUUUUAAACCUUUUCUUCAAUGCAGAUCCCCUUCUGCGUGGUGAUUGGAUGGAUUAUGGGUCGUCCUAUGGAUUUGAACUUCCAAAUGUUUGAAACAGCAUUGUUUUUCAUGAGUGUCCUUGUAGUAGCAUUCAUGGUGCAGGACGGAACUUCCAAUUACUUAAAGGACUUAUGCUACUCCUCUGCUACUUGAUAGUCGCUGUGAGCUUCUUUGUGCCUAUAGAUCCAGAUGAUAUAUAUACGUUGAGAUCGAUAUUUUGAUAGGACUAUCAAGAAUUUUGCCGUCGGGCAUUAUAUACGACUGUGGUCAAAGCUUGAAUCCAGCUACAGACAUAGGAUAGGUUCUUCUUCUAAAAGACUACUCCUGUUUCACCUAGAUAUUACCAUGUAUAAUGAGGGGUGGAUCGGGAUUUGGUCGAACCCAAUAAUUUUGAUGUAAAUCCUAUAUGAAUUUUUGGUGGACUUCGGACAGUAUUUAAUUGAAGUUGAAAAAAGAGUAAUCUGGAUGUUGAAGGUGAAAAAGAGUAUUUCGAUGUUGCAGUUGUGCUUAGACAUGAAUUUCACUACUGAUUUGCCAGAAAAUAUUAGUUGAAAAAAGAGUAAUCUGGAUGUUGAAG
Molecule: RNA transcript, 1785 nt
Organism: Capsicum annuum
Lineage: Eukaryota; Viridiplantae; Streptophyta; Magnoliopsida; Solanales; Solanaceae
Gene name: indole-3-acetaldehyde oxidase
Exons: 4
Source: RefSeq, a predicted model, not a curated record